CCCACAUACCUGGGUACUUGCACGCCUGCAGGAGGAACGAGACUGCACUUCACAGCUGGCGCCAGCCCGCUGGCUCCCCGUACUCACGGAGCAGCACGAUGCUGCCUACGACGUGAAGCCGGCCUGGAGGAAGGAGAAGGACAUCAUGUCAGGGGCCCCAGGCAUAACGUUGCUGCGUCUCCCACUUGCCGGAGGAGGCCUUGCAGCUGGCGGUGCUGGCGACGGCCCAGGGCCACCUCCCCAGCUAGAGUCCGCGUGCGCCGAGCUCUGGGGGCCUCACCUCAGGCUCCCGGAGAAAGCCAGCCGCCUGCGGAUCCUGGCUGCGGAGGCUACGGUCGCUCCCCGCUGCUCCCCGGUGCUCCCCGCUCAGCCACGUCUCCCGAAUCCUCACACGGAGUCCCCCAUCGACCGUCUGGGCACAGCAAUGUCUUAUGGAGCGUCAACACCCACCCACCACCUGUCCCUCCGCAAAAAGUGACAUUCUCCUACAAAAGUGGACGUGCGGGGUCCCUGGGAAGCAGAAGCCAACGUGUUUUUCUCUUUUCUCUGGGCAUCAGCACUCGGGUCGCGCGUGCGCCCCGGCCCUUCUGCACGCGGAGGUCGCCUGGGGCCGCGGCCGUCCGGAGCGCUCGAAGCGCCGCCCUGCUCCUGAGGCGCUCUGCGGCUGCGCGCGGCGAGGUGUCGGUCCCAGGCUCCCGUCGCAAAGUUCCAGCGAGGCGCUUUACGGCUGCACGAGGAGCGCGAAAGGGCCUCGGUCGCGACCUCAGCCUCGACAGGAGGCCGCCCUCCGGGCACGCGUGCAAGCGCGGGCGGGCGGACGCCGCUGCGGCCCUGAGGCCUGGAGGAGGACGCCUGCGGGCUAACUUCCGGCAGACGGUCUGGCUGAGGACGCUCUAACCUUGAAUUCAACACUGAAAAGUUCGUAUUUUGAAGACCGGAUUAAAUUAUUUUCCUUCAGGAAUUUGAUAUCAGAAGAAAAAAACAGGUGUGCAAAAUCUAUGGCUUAUAAAUCUGGGUUGAUCACAGUUAAUGGAGAUUUAGAUUUCGAUUAAGGGAAUAUGUUGUAAAUUAAACUGCUUUGAAUCAUUUAUAUCUUAGUUAAAUGGAUGAAACUAUGAGAAAAUCUCAUUAUCAAAGUUUGAAGAAACUCAGAUGCAGAUAGAAGUAAGUCAUACUUCAAAUUAGAAAAUAUAAAGGUAUAAAUGAAGAUGCAUUCUGAAUUAGGAAUGUCUUAAUAUUUCCAUCACUACAAUCUUUUUUUUUCUUUUUUUACAACUUUAUUUUUUUUUUUAUUUAUUUAUGAUAGGCACACAGUGAGAGAGAGAGGCAGAGACAUAGGCAGAGGGAGAAGCAGGCUCCAUGCACCGGGAGCCGGAUGUGGGAUUCGAUCCCGGGUCUCCAGGAUCGCACCCUGGGCCAAAGGCAGGCGCUAAACCGCUGCGCCACCCAGGGAUCCCCUCCAUCACUACAGUCUUAAUGUGAAUAAUCAUCCAUGUUCAUCUACAUGACUAAUGUUCCCCCUGUGUCCUAUCCUGGCCCCCUAUACACCACCUUUCAGCAGCAGCCAGUUUUCUAAUAUGUUAUCAGAUCAUAUCACCUCUUUCUUUGAACUUAUCAAUAGAUUUCUAUUACAAAUUAAGGAAUGACUUUAAUAAUUUUCUAUGGACCACAAGGCUGUACAUGAACUGGAUCUGGUUUCCAUCUCUCCCCUAUGCAUGAAGCACAUCUAGUUUCACCUUCAUUCUGCUUUUAUUUCACAAUAUUUGUAUUUGCUCUUCUUUUAGCAUGGCUUUUUUCCUAGAUCUUCGUGCUGGGCACACUGGACACAGUCCAUCAGUAGAAGAGAAAAAUGAACUAACAGUUAUAUACUGUAAGGUUAAUACCGGGAUCCCUGGAUGGCCCAGCGGUUUAGCAUCUGCCUUCAGCCCAGGGCGUGAUGCUGGAGUCCUGGGAUUGAGUCCCACAUCAGGCUCCGUGCGUGGAGCCUGCUUCUCCCUCUGCCUGUUUCUCUGCCUCUCUCUCUCUCUCUCUCUCUCUCUGUGUGUGUGUGUGUGUGUGUCUCAUGAAUAAAUAAAUAAAAUCUUUUUAAAAAUAAGGUUAA
Long non-coding RNA from Vulpes vulpes (red fox), 2101 nucleotides. The record is from Ensembl. Lineage: Eukaryota; Metazoa; Chordata; Mammalia; Carnivora; Canidae.